RNAcentral lists this long non-coding RNA (2169 nucleotides) under Homo sapiens (human). RNAcentral describes it as "non-protein coding lnc-LRRTM2-1:7". The record is from RNAcentral. Lineage: Eukaryota; Metazoa; Chordata; Mammalia; Primates; Hominidae.
GCCCGCUCCUCCCGGCCGUUCCGGCCUCCGCUUUUGGGGAAAGGGAAGGCCCCCACCGCGAAGAGAGUCUGGCAACGCCGGACCGGGACCCCCGAGGGACCUCUUCCUCCCCGCCGCCCACCUCAGAAUUCCUUCCUCCCCGGCCCCUAGUGGGAGCUUAGGCCGGGAGUGACCCCUGAGAGGGAGGAGGAGCGGUGACUCCUGGAACAGCCCGCGGGCGGAGAGGGCUGCGCGAGGGCAGGUGAGUCACCGCUCCGCGCACAGGUGAGGCUCAGGGGCGGCCUCGCGCGGGCCCCCACCCCGGCGGAAUCCCAGAGACGCGACCAGGGGUACUGGGCACGCUCCCCUCAAGAGUGUCACAGGUGUCCCGGAGUCACAGUCUUCUGGAAAAGUGAUCUAGGCCAACUACCUGGCUUUACAGAAGGAGAAGCGGAGGCUAAGGAAAGGCCCCACAGCUUCGGGACACAGUGGAACUAGAAUCUGACUCUCAGGACCUUUCAUAAUGUGAGGUGGAAGCGCCCCUAGAAUUCACCUAACCCGUCCCCUCACUCCACAGAUGGAAACACCCGAAGCCCUCUUGAUCAAGGACUUUUUUUUUUUUUUAAGACGGGGUCUCCCUCUGUCGCCCAGGCUGGGGUGGAGUGUCGCGAUCACGGCCCACUGCAGCCUCAAAUCCCUGGACAACCGACCCUCCCACCUCAGCCUCCGGAGUAGCUGGAACUACAGACACAGAGUCUCACUAUGUUGCCAGGCUGGUCUCAAACUCAUGGGCUCAAGAAAUCCUCCUCAGCCUCCCAAAGUGCUGGGAUUACAGGCUAGAGCCACCUUGCGGGGAGGACAUUUACAAACACAAAAGAGGCACCGCAGCAGCUGUCCCUUUUUGGGCUUGUUCCCGCCCCGCCCCCAGCACGUCCCCCCUCCCAGCUUGUCCCCCUCCUCCAACAAAUUUGAGGGACCUGACUUCUAUCUCUAUUCCUCUGGUCAUUUGGGGCAUUUUAUUCUUACCCUUUCUUAUCUUCAUAGUGAAUACUCCAAAAACAAAAGAAAACAAAAUUACAAAGCAAACAAACAACACAAAAAAACAAAAACUACUACAUGCUCACUAUCAUCCUGGUAUAGAAAACCCUAAUGAUGUUUCCCCUGCUCACGGGAUGAUGAAUAAGAUAGAUUUCAGUAUUGGCCUAUAAACCUGAAUAAUGCAAGACGACGAUGUCCACUGCUGGCCUUGUGCUGAAUAGAGAGCAGGGUGCUAGGGAGACCUGCCCUUACCGUGUUUACCCUCUACUCCUCACAUCUCCCUCUCCCCCAAGGGAAUAUAAACUUCUGGAAAGCAGGAGCUGUAUCUCCUGCAGCACCCAGCACAUUGCCCAUCCCCUAGGGAGUGCCUAGUGAACAUCUGUGGGUGAAUGUGCCCACUGUAAUUCAAAGUACUGUGGGCCUGUGCUAGUUAACAGAUGCUGACAAAGGGCAAUAGGACCAUGAAGUGGGGAGAGAACAACCUUUAAGAAAAAGAGGAUGGGCACAGUGGCUCACACAAGUAAUCCCAGCACUUUGGGAGGCCAAGAUGGGUGGAUCACAUGAGCUCAGGAGACCAGCCUGGGCAAAAUGAUAGAACCCUUGUCUACAAAAAAAUACAAAAACAUAGCUGGGUGUAGUGGCACCUACCUGUAGUCCCAGCUACUUGGGAGGCUGAGGUGGGAGGAUCGCUUGAGCCUGGGAGUUCAAGGCUGCAGUGAACCAUGACUGCACCACUGCACUCCAGCCUGGGCAACACAGUGAGACUCUGUCUCAAAAAGAAAAAGAAAAAGGCAAACCCUGACAAGGUCAUUCUUGUCCAACUACCCCUGUCCUGUUUCUGGCUGCAGGGUCUUUGCUCCUGUAGUCUCCUCUGCCUAGAGUGGCUUUGGCGUCCCUCUACUUCACCUGGCUAACUCAGAACAUAAUUCAUAUAUUUUGGAUAUUUGUCCCUGCCCAAAUCUCACAUUGAAAUGUAAUCCCCAGUGUUGGAGGUGGGGCUGGUGGGAGGCAUUUGGGUAAUAGAGGAGGAUCCCUCAUGGCUUGGUGCUGUCCUCCAGGUACUAAGGGAAUUCUCAUGAAAUGUAGUCGUUUUAAAGUGUAGCACCGGCCAGGCACAGUGGCUCACACCUGUAAUCCCAACACUUUUGAGAA